AUGAUCCAUAGACAGCUUCCAUCACACUGGUUACUGUUAUUAUCACUUUUGUUUCUGAUAUUCCUGCUCCAGGGCGAUCUUCAGGUUCCAACCCUGGAGCUUUCAUGCCUUCAGGAGGAAGAGUGCCUGAGAAGCAUGCUGUCUUUGCGAUCUAGAACAAACUUUGUCCUUUCUAGAAUAGGAGGAGACAACAAGGCGAGUCUGAAACUGAAAGGGAAGGUCUGCGUGUUGAGGCUGGUUGUCCAAGGUCAGUCGGUAUAUGUAGUAGCAGGCGCCAGCACCGACCACCAGACCCGCUGCUAUCAAGCCCAAAUUCUGAGUACAGCCCAUGCUGCAGAUGGUGCGACCGUCUCCUGGAGCUCCGUUAGGCUCGCGAGCGCCCUGGGAGCGGGAGUUUGAGGCUGAAGUGAAGCUGGAUCUAGGAGAGGGAGUGUUGGGGUGGGGGGUGGGGACGGGAGGGAGGAAGGAAAUGAGGCUUUGGGCUUCUCCUUCUGCAUCGCCCGGCCACCGGGGACAGACGGAGCGGCAGACACAGCAGACCCAAUCGAGAACCAGGUAGGAAGAAACGCGGCUCAGCGUCCAGACUGCCAGGCCUGGAUCUCACAGUCCCCCCACGGCUCCCUCUUCACCGCUUCCUCCCCGCCUCCUUCUCAAAUCAUGGACGCCAAACAGUGCUGCUGCCGCCACUGCCCUGCCUUGUGCCAGGCGCGAAUGCCAAACAGGCUGAGUUCGUUCGCGUGUCCCCAUGGGGAAAAACAAGCGCCUUCAAACUUGAAAAAUCGUGCUAGUAUCCGCUACCCCGAGGAGUUUCCAACCUACACCCACCCUCACGCCGACCCACAGGGAUCGCGGCCAGUGGUUGCCGCCUCCUCCUCCCCUACCCUUUCUCCCCCUCCUUCUGCCUUGGCCAAAGUCACGCCGCCGCCAAAGAAACAGGGAGCUGGUACCUGAGCAGAAACCGCUAUCUGGAUCCAGACUUGAGCGCCUCAGCUCCUGGUCACGUGAAGCCACGUCACUGGCAAAUUCGGGUCCCCAUUUCCCCUCCCAUAAUUAGCAAAGCAGAGUGCGACCCGCCUCUCCCUCCUGGCCUUCCCUCCCCCCACCAGCGCGCCUGGCUCUGUGGCUCUUGGUCUUUUUAACCUUGUGCACACAACAAAAGUGCUGCCUUUCUCUGAUUACUGGAAGAGCCAGUAAUCUUCUCCAGAGCUCCUGGCCAUUGCCAUUUCUCUGGGGAAGGGCCCCGUCCUGUCCUCUGCUCCCUGCACUCCCUCCACCUCUUGUCUUUGAGGUCGCUACUGUGCAGUCCUGAAAAUAUCUGGAAAUGGGGAUGGGGGAGGGGUGUGAAAAACCGGAAGGAUUCUGUUACUUUCUUGCUAAUGCUCUUCUGUUCCUUUAUUUGUUACACAGAUAUCCAUUCUUUUUAUGGAAAGUAUGUUAAAACUAUUUUCAUUUAAGAAAAAUUUCACUCUUUAUAAAAACGUUUCUCACUGCAUAGAGUUUUAGACAUGCCACUCAAAGCCAUCUUGUCUUCCACAUCUUGUCACUCGACAAUGCCUUGAUUUAGCUAAUCACUUACCUGAGAAUUUGCAAACCUGCUAAUAUGCCAUAAUUAGAGAGGCUUCAUUUGGAGGUGCAAGAGUAGCUCAAUGCUAUUCAUUUAUUCAACACACUGACUGAGCACCUACUACAUGCCAUCCAUUAUUUUCCAUACAGUGGUUACAGCAAUGAAAAAAACAGACCUUAAUCCCCGAUUUCCUGUCCCUUAUAUUCUGAUGAGAGAUGAGCAAUAAAUAAAAUGAACAAAAUAUGUACUGUAUUGCU
This is a long non-coding RNA of Oryctolagus cuniculus (rabbit), 1821 nucleotides long. The record is from Ensembl. Lineage: Eukaryota; Metazoa; Chordata; Mammalia; Lagomorpha; Leporidae.